GCUAAUUGCAACAAGCCAAACUUUCCUCUUUGUAAGAUGGGUUCAGAAUAGGACAUUACCUUGUCUUAAAUCACUUUAUGUGGUCUUCUAAUCAUAGAAGGCUUGUAUAGACUAGGAGCAUGACUAAAGCCUAUCUGAGAAACCUUGUAUAAGUGCAGUUUCAAUGGAAUACAAGGACUGUGAAAGGUUCUGUUUGAACCAAAAUUGGAAAUUUGGUCUAGAAUGAAUGAAGAAUUAUGGCUCAUACAAUAUGGCCAAUAUAUGGCUAAAUUUUGUUUUUUCAUGACUAAGUCAUCUUUUCCAAAAUGCCCAAAUGGACAACUUCAAUGUUCAAGCAAAGUAUUCAUGACAGCGGCAGCAAAUGUUUACAUUAGCAGUGGCAAGUCCUCCUUGUUUGGGCAAGAAAAUCUCAUUUAAUGCUAGCGUCCCCUUCAUGAAACUUGUUCAUUUGGAUGUCUACUACGACAUAUCCAAAAUUGGGAGAAUUUCGAUAAGCAUUGAGUCUUCAGGACAUAAAAUACUGAAGCAUAUUUUCCAGCGCGAUUGAGCUACAGUACAGCCUGAUGAGCCAAAAUGAGAAAUUCACAGAACUCAAAUGAAUUGGCUUGCUUCAUGAAAGUUGUUUAUCUAGAUGGUUCCUAUAACAUAUCCAACAUUGGCGAUUUUUGGAUAAGUAUUGAAUCCUCAGAGAAGCAAACACCAGAUGACAACAACAGUAGCAGCAUUAAGGCCAGGCCAAUGAGAACUUCCAGCACUCACAUGAAGAACUUUCUUCAUGAAAUUUGUUCGUCUAUGUGUCUAGUAUAUUGUAUCCAAAUGGGGUGGAAUUUAGACAAGUAUUAAAUGCUCACGGAAUUAAACACUG
This 865-nucleotide long non-coding RNA is filed under the name Prunus dulcis (almond). Its description in RNAcentral is "sRNA ncRNA". The record is from RNAcentral. Lineage: Eukaryota; Viridiplantae; Streptophyta; Magnoliopsida; Rosales; Rosaceae.